GGAGAAAAGUAGGGGAUCGCAAGACCUUGUGCUUUUGGAGCGGCCGAUGCCUGAUUAGCUAGUUGGUGGGGUAAAGGCCUACCAAGGCGUCGAUCAGUAGUUGGUCUGAGAGGACGACCAGCCACACUGGGACUGAGACACGGCCCAGACUCCUACGGGAGGCAGCAGUGGGGAAUUUUGGACAAUGGGCGCAAGCCUGAUCCAGCAAUGCCGCGUGAGUGAAGAAGGCCUUCGGGUUGUAAAGCUCUUUCAGUCGAGAAGAAAAGGUUGCGACUAAUAAUCGCAAUUCAUGACGGUACCGACAGAAGAAGCACCGGCUAACUACGUGCCAGCAGCCGCGGUAAUACGUAGGGUGCAAGCGUUAAUCGGAAUUACUGGGCGUAAAGGGUGCGCAGGCGGCUCUGUAAGUCAGAUGUGAAAUCCCCGGGCUUAACCUGGGAACUGCGUUUGAAACUACAAAGCUAG
This 465-nucleotide ribosomal RNA is filed under the name uncultured bacterium. RNAcentral describes it as "bacterial SSU rRNA". It matches the Rfam family "Bacterial small subunit ribosomal RNA", at positions 198 to 644 of the family's 1533-position model. The record is from RNAcentral.